Molecule: ribosomal RNA, 1359 nt
Filed under: Philautus larutensis
Lineage: Eukaryota; Metazoa; Chordata; Amphibia; Anura; Rhacophoridae
Description: partial 16S ribosomal RNA
Rfam family: Bacterial large subunit ribosomal RNA
Source: RNAcentral
GAGCCUAAAAUCUAGCCUAAAAUUCCGCAUGUCCCCAACUCAAUUUAUUAAAAAAUAAAACAUUUUAUUUUUAUAGUAGAGGUGAUCGAAAUAACACUUAGCGCUUAAGAUAUAGUACCGCAAGGGAAAACUGAAAUAAAAUGAAAACCCCCAAGCUAAAAAUAGCAGAGAUUCCAACUCGUACCUUUUGCAUCAUGGUCUAGUUAGUCUAACCAAGCAAAACGAAAUUUUAGUUUGUCCCCCCGAAACUAAGCGAGCUACUUCAAAACAGCUUAAAGAGCUAACCCGUCUCUGUAACAAUAGAGUGGGAAGAUUUUCAAGUAGAAGUGAUAAACCUAUCGAGCUUAGAGAUAGCUGGUCAUUCAACAAAAGAAUAGUAGUUCUGCCUUAAACCUCCCCUGCUACCAUACAACAAAAGAUUUAAGAGUUAUUCAAAUAAGGCACAGCUUAUUUGAAAAAGGAUACAACCUCCAUUACAGGGUAAACACCAAUCUCUCCGCCAAGUGGGCCUAAAAGCAGCCACCUCAAAAAGCGUUACAGCUUAACCUAGCACAAAUAAAAUUUUAUUAAAAACCAUUAACCCUUCCACAUUWMUGAAUGAUUCUAUAAUAAUAUAGAAAACAUAAUGCUAGAACUAGUAACAAGAAUUUUGAUUCUCCAAAAUGUAAGUAUCCACCAAACACCCUGGUAAUUAACGAAUAUGAGCCCACUGCAACAACCACCAAGAAAACUCUGCAUAACCCUUCGUCAACCUAACACUAGAACAUUCCUGGAAAGAUUUAAAGGGAAAGAAGGAACUCGGCAAAUUUCGACCCCGCCUGUUUACCAAAAACAUCGCCUCUUGAUUAACAAUAAGAGGUCCAGCCUGCCCAGUGACAAUUCAACGGCCACGGUACCCUAACCGUGCAAAGGUAGCAUAAUCACUUGUUCUUUAAAUAAGGACUAGUAUCAACGGCAUCACGAGGGUCACACUGUCUCCUUCCCCUAAUCAGUGAAACUGAUCUCCCCGUGAAGAAGCGGGAAUAAACCUAUAAGACGAGAAGACCCCAUGGAGCUUUAAACUUUCAGCAACUAAACCACACACCCCCUUAUAUUAUAAAAUUAUGCUUAACAGUCUUAGAUUGGGGCGAUCGCGGAGUAAAAAUCAACCUCCAUGACGAAAAGAACUAAAUCUUUAUCCAAGAUCCACUACUCUAAGAAUUAGAACACUAACGCUCAUGACCCGAUAAACGAUCAACGAACCAAGUUACCCUGGGGAUAACAGCGCAAUCUACUUCAAGAGCUCAUAUCGACAAGUAGGUUUACGACCUCGAUGUUGGAUCAGGGCAUCCUAGUGGUGCAGUCGCUACUAACGGUUCG